UACAGAGGGUGCGAGCGUUGUCCGGAUUUAUUGGGCGUAAAGAGCUCGUAGGCGGCUCGUUGCGUCGGCUGUGAAAACCCGCAGCUCAACUGUGGGCUUGCAGCCGAUACGGGCGGGCUGGGAUUCGGUAGGGGAGACUGGAAUUCCUGGUGUAGCGGUGAAAUGCGCAGAUAUCAGGAGGAACACCGGUGGCGGAGGCGGGUCUCUGGGCCGAUAUCGACGCUGAGGAGCGAAAGCGUGGGGAGCGAACAGG
RNAcentral lists this ribosomal RNA (253 nucleotides) under uncultured bacterium. RNAcentral describes it as "partial 16S ribosomal RNA". It matches the Rfam family "Bacterial small subunit ribosomal RNA", at positions 524 to 776 of the family's 1533-position model. The record is from RNAcentral.